This 207-nucleotide ribosomal RNA is filed under the name uncultured bacterium. RNAcentral's name for it is "partial 16S ribosomal RNA". It matches the Rfam family "Bacterial small subunit ribosomal RNA", at positions 568 to 774 of the family's 1533-position model. The record is from RNAcentral.
UGUGCAGGCGGUUUCGAAAGUCCGAUGUGAAAUCCCCGAGCUUAACUUGGGAACUGCGUUGGAAACUACGAGGCUAGAGUGCGGCAGAGGGGGGUGGAAUUCCAGGUGUAGCAGUGAAAUGCGUAGAGACCUGGAGGAACACCGAUGGCGAAGGCAGCCCCCUGGGUUAGCACUGACGCUGAGACACGAAAGCGUGGGGAGCAAACA